RNAcentral lists this ribosomal RNA (497 nucleotides) under uncultured bacterium. RNAcentral's name for it is "partial 16S ribosomal RNA". It matches the Rfam family "Bacterial small subunit ribosomal RNA", at positions 28 to 507 of the family's 1533-position model. The record is from RNAcentral.
GAUGAACGCUGGCGGCGUGCCUAAUACAUGCAAGUCGAGCGAACAGACGAGGAGCUUGCUCCUCUGACGUUAGCGGCGGACGGGUGAGUAACACGUGGAUAACCUACCUAUAAGACUGGGAUAACUUCGGGAAACCGGAGCUAAUACCGGAUAAUAUAUUGAACCGCAUGGUUCAAUAGUGAAGGACGGUUUUGCUGUCACUUAUAGAUGGAUCCGCGCCGCAUUAGCUAGUUGGUAAGGUAACGGCUUACCAAGGCAACGAUGCGUAGCCGACCUGAGAGGGUGAUCGGCCACACUGGAACUGAGACACGGUCCAGACUCCUACGGGAGGCAGCAGUAGGGAAUCUUCCGCAAUGGGCGAAAGCUUGACGGAGCAACGCCGCGUGAGUGAUGAAGGUCUUCGGAUCGUAAAACUCUGUUAUUAGGGAAGAACAAAUGUGUAAGUAACUAUGCACGUCUUGACGGUACCUAAUCAGAAAGCCACGGUUAACUACGUG